This 834-nucleotide ribosomal RNA is filed under the name Triticum aestivum (bread wheat). RNAcentral describes it as "partial small subunit ribosomal RNA". Lineage: Eukaryota; Viridiplantae; Streptophyta; Magnoliopsida; Poales; Poaceae. The record is from RNAcentral.
AUGACGUUCGCCGCCUCGGCCUCUGGUGACGUCAUCGUCGCCGCUAACUACGCCGGUUGCGGCCGGACCCUGAUCUAUGAUGCCGCCGCCGGCGGCGUCUCGCCCGGGCCGGAGAUGCGCUCCGUCAAGAACUACCUGUUCCUUGUCCCGGUCGGCGACCGCACGUUCUUUGCCAUGUCCGCCUACUCGCGCCUGGACGUCCCCAAGGGGGGGCCCUGGUUCGAGGUUCUGCAGCAGCAGCUCCUCCCCGGCGGCGGCGGCGGCGGCGGCCGUUGGGCCUGGAGCGCCGUUCCUGACCCGCCCGGCCUCCCUCGUGGCCAGAGGGAGGACGUCCGGGCCUACUUCGUCGCGGGCGCGCGCGUCUGGAUCUCGCUGCGCCUCCAGGGUACCUAUUCCUUCGACACGGCGCGCCAGCGUUGGCGCAAGGAGGGCGCCUGGAUGCUGCCCGUCCUGGGUCGGGCCGUCCUGGUGCCUGAUUUUCUGGGCAGCGGCCGGCGGCUGCUCUUCGGCAUCCGUUCUAUGAGGGAUCACCAAUUCUGCGCCGUCGACAUGGACGCCAGGCCGCCGACGGUCCUCAGGUCCUGGCCUGAGGCAUUGCCCACCAUCGGGUGGGCCGCCGGAUAUAAAAGGUGCUCCUUCCUCCCCCAGGUGACCUACUUUGGGGGCGGCAGGUUUUGCGUUUCGGUGACGAAUCAGACCAACGAGGAGAAUCCACUCAGCGUCGCCUCCUUCAAGGCCGUCGAGCUCACCGCCGACCUACAGCUGAUCGAACGCCGGUCCAGCUACUACUUGAUGCCACAAAGCUCACGCGGGUCGCCGGUUACAGUAAUUUAG